RNAcentral lists this long non-coding RNA (2871 nucleotides) under Triticum aestivum (bread wheat). Its description in RNAcentral is "long non-coding RNA (TAES_LNC008987)". The record is from RNAcentral. Lineage: Eukaryota; Viridiplantae; Streptophyta; Magnoliopsida; Poales; Poaceae.
UUUUGAAAAAGUGCUAAUGCAGGGAUACACUUUACUAUUGUUUAAUUCAAAACAAAAAUGUAUAGAAGUUAGAAACAGCAGAUUACCUUCAUGUUUGCUCUCGUGAGCAUGCCACAGCUGCUACUAGCCUCUCCAGUUGACAUUGUUGAUGUCCUGUACCAACUCCAAGUUCGAAAACAAAAAGAAAUGAAUUAGACUCUUGUAAAAUGAAUAUGGAGCAGCAAAUAUCAGUUAGCUGUAUGUCACCUUUCAAAUUUUGAAAGAUUGUUCUGAGCAGGAAGUUCCAACUUGCAUGUUUCCAUUUCCAUCUAGCAAGUAGCAACAUCCAACCAAAAUCAAAUAAACAAGUGUAAAACAGCCAAAAAACAGUGCUGCUUGGCUGGGCUGCUCCAUGCGAGAGGCCGAGGGUGAGGACGACAAGGGGUCCGCGAGGAAGGAGGAGCAGCUUGUCGUCGGCUAGCCACCGGCCUGCUGCCGCCACAAGAUGAGCAGUUGUUGGGUACGCAGCCUAGUGUUGCUGGUUUCCUCUUAACUGGGCUGGGCCAGAUCCAAGACGUGCUGACCAAGUGUAUCCUUGAAUUAUCAGAAUUGUUAUAAAUCGUUUAUUCACGGAUACUCUCUGGAUAUGUAUCCAAGAUGUAUCGGAGGCGUAUCCUAUCAUAUAUGGUAUCCGAUAAGGAUUCGCUGGUUCCCUGACUUAUCCGUGCAUUCGAGGCUGGAUUAUGCAGAUCCGUACUAAACCGAACAGGCCCUUGGUGGUUUCAGGAUGGCUUACGCCAAUGAAGUGAACAACAAUUAAUAUGGCGUGUUUGCGACUAGUCACCAGAUCAGACAGAACACAAAAUUCUUACUCAAUAAACCCAUAUUCCCGCAAUCUCCCUCACUCUAUCCGCCUUUCUCUUCAUCCAUUCCCCUCUUUCUAGAAAUUCACAUCACAUAGAAUCAAACCAAACAUUGCUGCUGCUGCUGCUGCAGUGUCGAUUAAUAGAGCAAUAUUGCAGGGCCUUAGUAAGGGACUUGUUACUAAUUUUCUGGAUGAUGGAUUAGCCAUCAUCCAGUAUGCAGGUGUUAUUAUUUUUAUGUUUGAAGAUGAUGUUGGAAGUGCUAGAAAUGUCAACUUCAUAUUAUGUGCUUUUGACAGGUCUUAAAAUUAACUUUCAUAAGUGACUCUGUUUUGGGUCUGUUGUAGAUAAAUAGGAUGCAUAUACUCAUAUUUUCACUUGUAAACAGUGAUUGGAAGGAUUCAUAAGACAGGAUGAAAAAAAGAUUACUAUCUGAAAAGGGGGUGUUGUGGGAGAAAUACCACCUAGUUCGAUGGGGGAUGUUUGCCAUCCCAAGGAACACAUGGGCUUGGGUAUUACUGAGCUUAAGCCCCAAAAUAUUAAUUAUCUUAUGUAAAUGGAAUUGGAAGUUUGAAAAUUAAGAGGGAGAAUGGCAGGAUUUGCUUAGGGCUAAAUACCAGAGCAAAGGUACUUUAACUCGAUGUUAUAGAUGUUAAGGAUUUCUUUUAUAUUGUAGUUGUUGUCAGAAAGUUGUAGGAGACGGGAGGAAGACUAGAUUCUGGGAAGACAAUUGGAUUCGGCACUACCCACUAUGCCAAGUUUCCCUUUUGCUUGUAAAAUAUAACUUUCAGUCAUAAUGUUAUGGUGCACACUUUUUUACUUGAGGAAGUGGAAGUUUGCAUUUUAGAAGGUUUCUCAAGGAAGAAACUGGCUGUGUGGCAGAAAUUCUGUAAUUGAAAGAUAUGUGUGCUCAGUGUACACUACUAGGGAAAAGCCUAGCAGUAGCGCUGGUUUUUGGCCUAUCAGUAGCGCGGGGAAGCGCGCUACUGAUAAGGCGCUACAGCUAAAGCUUAGCAGUAGCGCCUGCUGGCACGCGCUACUGCUAUAUCUACUUAGUAGUAGCGCUUUCCGAAACGAGCUCUACUGCUAAUUAGUAGUAGCGCUUUCGAGAACAAUCGCUACUACUAUUAUUCCUAGUUCCAUUUCUUUUUUAUUUUAGGUCGUAUUCAUACACCUGUAUACAAUUUUUCAUACAGUAGCAAUUUAGAGAUUGUUUUAACAUCAUAAUGAGUUAUUAAAUCACUAGGUGAAAGAACAUUGGAUUAGUUUCAAGUGCAUGGAUCCAAAGUAACCAAUAUAAUGGUCACUUUGGAUCCAUCCAUUUGAAACUAAUCCGCGGUUCGUUCACCCAAUGACAUAAUAACUUAUCAUCAUCAUCAUAAUAUCAUUAACAACUUAUCAUCAUAAUAUAUCAUUGUCAUAUAACUCCUCAUAAUCAUCAUUUUCGUCCAUGAUGAGACAUCAUAUAACAACUUCGUCACUAGUUAUAAUAACAACUCCUCAUCAUCAUCAUCAUAGUACUCAUAAUCACUACUCCUACUCAGCAUCACCAUCAAGUCUAGGACAUUGUAGUCAUAUAUAAUCAACACUAACUAAUUGUUCUUAAUACUUAGGACCUACUCCUCUCUCCUAGCUAAAAUACCAUAAAACAGAUAAACCGGUCCUUCACCAUAAUGGAGAAUGGACAUAAACCUAUCUCCAACUUGUGGCUUGCGCACAUUCAUUUUGUCUUCAAUUAUUUACGUGUGUGCAUUCAUCACUUUGCUCCAUUCUUUGAUUUUGAUUACUACCUAAAUCUGGUGAUUUUUCUGUAAAGUCUUGUUAUAAUUAUCUUGUUACCAGUAAGGUUAACUUUCCUUAUAGAAUGAUGUGGGUUCUCAAGCUUCCCUUAGAAAUAAGCUUCUUUGCUGGUUGGUGAUUAGGAAUCAAGUUCUGACCAAAGAAAAUAUGGACAAAAAGGAUGGAAGGACUCUGACCUGUGUUGAAGAAACCUGCGGAUUUCCCCUCCUAUGUUUUUGCUUAGGUUCNN